Molecule: ribosomal RNA, 468 nt
Filed under: uncultured bacterium
Lineage: Bacteria
Description: partial 16S ribosomal RNA
Rfam family: Bacterial small subunit ribosomal RNA
Source: RNAcentral
GACGAACGCUGGCGGCGUGCUUAACACAUGCAAGUCGAACGGAAAGGCCCUGCUUUUGUGGGGUGCUCGAGUGGCGAACGGGUGAGUAACACGUGAGUAACCUGCCCCUGACUUUGGGAUAACUUCAGGAAACUGGGGCUAAUACCGGAUAGGAGCUCCUGCUGCAUGGUGGGGGUUGGAAAGUUUCGGCGGUUGGGGAUGGACUCGCGGCUUAUCAGCUUGUUGGUGGGGUAGUGGCUUACCAAGGCUUUGACGGGUAGCCGGCCUGAGAGGGUGACCGGCCACAUUGGGACUGAGAUACGGCCCAGACUCCUACGGGAGGCAGCAGUGGGGAAUAUUGCACAAUGGGCGGAAGCCGGAUGCAGCAACGCCGCGUGCGGGAUGACGGCCUUCGGGUUGUAAACCGCUUUCGCCUGUGACGAAGCGUGAGUGACGGUAAUGGGUAAAGAAGCACCGGCUAACUACGUG